RNAcentral lists this ribosomal RNA (291 nucleotides) under uncultured bacterium. Its description in RNAcentral is "partial 16S ribosomal RNA". It matches the Rfam family "Bacterial small subunit ribosomal RNA", at positions 335 to 617 of the family's 1533-position model. The record is from RNAcentral.
UGUGCCUACGGGACGCAGCAGGGGGGAAUAUUGCGCAAUGGGCGAAAGCCUGACGCAGCGACGCCGCGUGAGGGAUGGAGGUCUUCGGAUCGUAAACCUCUGUCAGCAGGGAAGAACGGUCACUGUGCUAAUCAGCAGUGAGUUGACGGUACCUGCAAAGGAAGCACCGGCUAACUCCGUGCCAGCAGCCGCGGUAAUACGGAGGGUGCGAGCGUUAAUCGGAAUUACCGGGCGUAAAGCGCUCGUAGGCGGUAUGUCAAGUCAAGGUGGAAAUCCCCGCGCUCAUCGUGG